GAUGAACGCUGACAGAAUGCUUAACACAUGCAAGUCAACUUGAAUUUGGGUUUUUAACUUAGAUUUGGGUGGCGGACGGGUGAGUAACGCGUAAAGAACUUGCCUCACAGCUAGGGACAACAUUUAGAAAUGAAUGCUAAUACCUGAUAUUAUGAUUUUAAGGCAUCUUAGAAUUAUGAAAGCUAUAAGCACUGUGAGAGAGCUUUGCGUCCCAUUAGCUAGUUGGAGAGGUAACAGCUCACCAAGGCGAUGAUGGGUAGCCGGCCUGAGAGGGUGAACGGCCACAAGGGGACUGAGACACGGCCCUUACUCCUACGGGAGGCAGCAGUGGGGAAUAUUGGACAAUGGACCGAGAGUCUGAUCCAGCAAUUCUGUGUGCACGAUGAAGUUUUUCGGAAUGUAAAGUGCUUUCAGUUGGGAAGAAAAAAAUGACGGUACCAACAGAAGAAGUGACGGCUAAAUACGUGCCAGCAGCCGCGGUAAUACGUAUGUCACGAGUGUUAUCCGGAUUUAUUGGGCGUAAAGCGCGUCUAGGUGGUUAUGUAAGUCUGAUGUGAAAAUGCAGGGCUCAACUCUGUAUUGCGUUGGAAACUGUAUAACUAGAGUACUGGAGAGGUAAGCGGAACUACAAGUGUAGAGGUGAAAUUCGUAGAUAUUUGUAGGAAUGCCGAUGGGGAAGCCAGCUUACUGGACAGAUACUGACGCUAAAGCGCGAAAGCGUGGGUAGCAAACAGG
Molecule: ribosomal RNA, 735 nt
Filed under: uncultured Fusobacterium sp.
Lineage: Bacteria; Fusobacteriati; Fusobacteriota; Fusobacteriia; Fusobacteriales; Fusobacteriaceae
Description: bacterial SSU rRNA
Rfam family: Bacterial small subunit ribosomal RNA
Source: RNAcentral